UACGGAGGGUGCAAACGUUGCUCGGAAUCAUUGGGCGUAAAGCGCACGUAGGCGGUUCGUUAAGUCGGAUGUGAAAGCCCUCGGCUCAACUGAGGAAGUGCACCCGAAACUGGCGAGCUUGAGUACGAAAGAGGAUCGCGGAAUUCCCGGUGUAGAGGUGAAAUUCGUAGAUAUCGGGAGGAACACCGGUGGCGAAGGCGGCGAUCUGGGUCGAUACUGACGCUGAGGUGCGAAAGCGUGGGGAGCAAACAGG
Molecule: ribosomal RNA, 253 nt
Filed under: uncultured bacterium
Lineage: Bacteria
Description: partial 16S ribosomal RNA
Rfam family: Bacterial small subunit ribosomal RNA
Source: RNAcentral